RNAcentral lists this ribosomal RNA (234 nucleotides) under uncultured bacterium. RNAcentral describes it as "partial 16S ribosomal RNA". It matches the Rfam family "Bacterial small subunit ribosomal RNA", at positions 15 to 231 of the family's 1533-position model. The record is from RNAcentral.
GAUCCUGGCUCAGGAUGAACGCUAGCUACAGGCUUAACACAUGCAAGUCGAGGGGCAGCGGGAUUGAAGCUUGCUUCAAUUGCCGGCGACCGGCGCACGGGUGAGUAACGCGUAUCCAACCUUCAGUACACUCGAGGGAUAGUCCUUUACGAAAAGAAAGAUUAACUACCUGAUGGUAUGAUGAGAUUGCAUGAUAUCAUCUAAUUAAAGUAUUUAUCGGUGUACGAGUGGGGA